UGGGUAACCUGCCUCAAAGAGGGGAAUAGCCUCCCGAAAGGGAGACUAAUACCGCAUAAUAUGUUUAAGUCGCAUGACUUUAACAUCAAAGGAUUUUCUUUUAGAAAUUCCACUUUGAGAUGGCCCGCGGCGCAUUAGCUAGUUGGUGAGGUAACGGCUCACCAAGGCAACGAUGCGUAGCCGACCUGAGAGGU
RNAcentral lists this ribosomal RNA (194 nucleotides) under uncultured bacterium. RNAcentral describes it as "partial 16S ribosomal RNA". It matches the Rfam family "Bacterial small subunit ribosomal RNA", at positions 118 to 300 of the family's 1533-position model. The record is from RNAcentral.